Long non-coding RNA from Oreochromis niloticus (Nile tilapia), 1198 nucleotides. RefSeq lists it as uncharacterized. The transcript has 3 exons. Lineage: Eukaryota; Metazoa; Chordata; Actinopteri; Cichliformes; Cichlidae. The record is from RefSeq and is a predicted model, not a curated record.
AGAGAAACACAUAUUUAAAAAAGGAGUGCGGGUCAAACUGACACCACAGCUUUUAAAAAUUUGGGACAAUUCUAUUCACACACACAGCAGAAGAAGUUUGGAUUGGAAUAAAAUUCAUUGUUGUGUGAUGUGAAACCAAAGAUGUGAAUGCCCGCUUGGCCAAGGAGCUUGUGUUAUUUCCUCCACCACGGUGUCACCCGGAGGAGAACGGUGCCAAAAAGUGGCACAAACCUUCAAUCAACCUCCAGACCUAAUCCUCUGCUCCUGCAUUUGGAAGACCAUCUGUCUAGUAAGCAGCUAUGAACUCCUGAGAGGCAGCCAGCAGGAAAGAAGUUACUUGACCUGGUUCAGCUUCAAGCACUUCAUAAUUGUGACAGCAUGUGAAUCAGCUGAAUGACUGUGGGUGUAAAGCCUGCUGUUAGCACCAGUGCUGCACACUGCACAACUGGAUGUGUCCUGCAGUCAUAGAUGUUCUGCUGGUGCGGUUGGUGGUAAAGGCUUUUACAGUGGAGUUGCACUAAGUAGAACUGUGAUGGUUGGAGAAGGAGGUGAGGAAGGGAAAAAUAAGCCCAGAAAGGAAAGGGGACAACUGAAAAAGACAAAGAGCUCUUGGGCUGUGAUAGCUGAUCUACACGAUUGCUUCCAUGCCAUGAUCAUGUUUAUCUCUGAAUUAUUGAAAACCUGAAAACCUGUUUCUAUGACAAAGAAAGGCUUCAGAAAGUUUUGGGGGGGGUUCUGCCUUGAUAAAAGUGGAGUAAUUGUAAGUCAAGGUCAAGCCCUCCCUGUACUGUUUCCUUUUUGGACUGCAGACAAGGAUUGUGCCUUUAAUAAAUGAGUGGAUAGUCAUCUGGACGGUAAUUGGCCUAUGCCUCAUUAUUGAGAGGUGGACAGCUGCUGUAGAGGACAGCACAUUGACUGUACUGAUUACACCAAGACAAACACAUCACAAAUAAAUCUUAUAACACUCACUUUCUGCUAUUCAUUCAUACCCUCUGUCUUCUUAAGAUGGCACCUCACCAUCUCUGAUACUGCAGGGAAAAAUAUUAUUAAUAACAAGCUUCACUGAUUCACUUAUUAUACAAAAUUAAAUGUUUUCAGCAGAGCUUCUCUCUGUAUGAAUCAGGAUCUGAUUUAACAUGUCUUUGGAGGAUUUGCCUAACGCUGUUGCCAUUGUUGCAAAAUAUUCAAAUUCUCCACU